UGGGGAAUUUUGGACAAUGGGCGAAAGCCUGAUCCAGCAAUGCCGCGUGUGUGAAGAAGGCCUUCGGGUUGUAAAGCACUUUUGUCCGGAAAGAAAUCCUUGGCUCUAAUACAGUCGGGGGAUGACGGUACCGGAAGAAUAAGCACCGGCUAACUACGUGCCAGCAGCCGCGGUAAUACGUAGGGUGCAAGCGUUAAUCGGAAUUACUGGGCGUAAAGCGUGCGCAGGCGGUUUGCUAAGACCGAUGUGAAAUCCCCGGGCUCAACCUGGGAACUGCAUUGGUGACUGGCAGGCUAGAGUAUGGCAGAGGGGGUAGAAUUCCACGUGUAGCAGUGAAAAUGCGUAGAGAUGUGGAGGAAUACCGAUGGCGAAGGCAGCCCCCUGGGCCAAAUACUGACGCUCAUGCACGAAAGCGUGGGGAGCAAAACAGGAUUAGAUACCCUGGUAGUCCACGCCCUAAAACGAUGUCAACUAGUUGUUGGGGAUUCAUUUCCUUAGUAACGUAGCUAACGCGUGAAGUUGACCGCCUGGGGAGUAACGGUCGCAAGAUUAAAACUCAAAGGAAUUG
RNAcentral lists this ribosomal RNA (568 nucleotides) under uncultured bacterium. Its description in RNAcentral is "partial 16S ribosomal RNA". It matches the Rfam family "Bacterial small subunit ribosomal RNA", at positions 355 to 912 of the family's 1533-position model. The record is from RNAcentral.